Rhipicephalus sanguineus (brown dog tick) is the source of this 295-nucleotide long non-coding RNA. RefSeq lists it as uncharacterized. The record is from RefSeq and is a predicted model, not a curated record. NCBI's taxonomy places the organism in Eukaryota, Metazoa, Arthropoda, Arachnida, Ixodida, Ixodidae. The transcript is spliced from 4 exons.
GUUCUUGCGAAGCUUGUGUGAAAUAAGCGAACAGUGCGUUGAACAGCUGAAGACAUACGACAAGAAGAUGAUAAUUCCCUGUGCUCGUCCCAAACUUUGGGAGAGAUGGGGCGAUGUGGAGCAGUACAACCUGACGACGAAGAAAUACAUAGAAAAAAUUGUGUUCUGCGGGCUAGACACCGUUCCCGAUAUGAAGAUAGCCUGGAUUGGCCUCCAGACAGCGUUCAAGCUUCUUGGAUAAAAGCUCGACUUUUCUAAAUGCACGACUGUAGCGCUCUUCUUCGAUGCUCUUUCG